This 252-nucleotide ribosomal RNA is filed under the name uncultured bacterium. RNAcentral's name for it is "partial 16S ribosomal RNA". It matches the Rfam family "Bacterial small subunit ribosomal RNA", at positions 109 to 354 of the family's 1533-position model. The record is from RNAcentral.
AGUAACACGUGAGUGACCUGCCUUUUAGACUGGAACAACUUACCGAAAGGUGAGCUAAUGCCGGAUGAGUUAUAUAAGUGCAUGUUUAUAUAGGAAAAGUUGGGGAGACCUGGCGCUGAAAGAUGGACUCGCGUCCCAUUAGCUAGUUGGUAGGGUAAUGGCCUACCAAGGCGACGAUGGGUAGCCGGCCUGAGAGGGUGGCCGGCCACACUGGGACUGAGACACGGCCCAGACUCCUACGGAAGGCAGCAG